This 253-nucleotide ribosomal RNA is filed under the name uncultured bacterium. Its description in RNAcentral is "partial 16S ribosomal RNA". It matches the Rfam family "Bacterial small subunit ribosomal RNA", at positions 524 to 776 of the family's 1533-position model. The record is from RNAcentral.
UACGAAGGGGGCUAGCGUUGCUCGGAUUGACUGGGCGUAAAGGGCGCGUAGGCGGUUUACACAGUCAGACGUGAAAUUCCUGGGCUUAACCUGGGGGCUGCGUUUGAUACGUGCAGGCUUGAGUUCGGAAGAGGGUCGUGGAAUUCCCAGUGUAGAGGUGAAAUUCGUAGAUAUUGGGAAGAACACCGGUGGCGAAGGCGGCGACCUGGUCCGAUACUGACGCUGAGGCGCGAAAGCGUGGGGAGCAAACAGG